CCCUUAGAUGUUCUGGGCUGCACGCGUGCUACACUGAUAUUGCCAAUAUGUCAUUCUUAUCCGAAAUGGAUUGGGUAAUCAAGUAAUGAAAUUUCAUGCUUGGAAUCGGUAAUUGCAAUUUUAUCGUGAACGAGGAAUUCCUAGUAAGCACUAGUCAUCAGCUAAUGUUGAUUAUGUCCCUGCCCUUUGUACACACCGCCCGUCGCUACUACUGAUUGGGUGUUCAAGUGAGAUGCUUAGACCCUUGUUGCAUGGUUCAUUAUUGUGCUCCGAAAGGAAAAAGUUUCAAGCUUGAGUGUCUAGAGGAAGGAAAAGUCGUAACA
Molecule: ribosomal RNA, 323 nt
Filed under: uncultured eukaryote
Lineage: Eukaryota
Description: partial 18S ribosomal RNA
Rfam family: Eukaryotic small subunit ribosomal RNA
Source: RNAcentral